Molecule: long non-coding RNA, 205 nt
Organism: Rhodamnia argentea
Lineage: Eukaryota; Viridiplantae; Streptophyta; Magnoliopsida; Myrtales; Myrtaceae
Exons: 3
Source: RefSeq, a predicted model, not a curated record
UUAAUGUUGAAGAGUGCUUCGAGAAUGCAGAGAAGUUCGAGUUGACCUUGGAUGAGGCUCAUUCGGAGCUUACCGUUAAAUAGAGUUUACAAGUUGGUGGAAGGAAUAUAUAUGGUUUCCCGCACUUUUGCUUCAUCCAUCAAAUAUCAAGAAAGGACUUGAAGUCAAGAAAUAUUCUCAUUUUUCUAUUUCACUGUCAUUUCGG